AAUUCAUAUUGUUCUGAAGCUGAACUCAAUGGACCCAAAUCCAUUAUCAUUUUGCACACUCCAAUCAAUUAAGUACCCAUCAUUAUCUUGAUGAUUGAUUUCUGUUUGUUUCUUCAACUCAUUCUGUUAGGAUUCGAGACCAAAUUUCACAGGAACUUGAAGAGAAAUAAUAAAGAUGAAGUGGAUUCAUUUCUGAUCAAAUUUGUUUUCUUCUACUCAUUCAUAUUUUUGCUGGUGAAACAUGGGCAAAGCUUCUGAAUGCCUUUUGUACUAAAAGUUGAAGCUUGGGUUAUGAAGACACCAAGACAUGGCCAAAGCUUCUGAAUACCUCUGUAACCAAGACGUGCUUGCAGAAGAUGUGAUUCUUCAUUGGUUCCGCUAAGGGUUAAACCCCAAGGGAAGAAGGAGGCAGGAGAUGGUACUGACCAUGAAGAUUACUAUUUAAGCCUAGAAUCCGUCUCUCAUCAAAUGUAUUAUGCAUCCAAUUUCCGAGAGCCUCAAAUACAGGUUGCCAAAAAGGUGAUCUAGAAAUAUUGUGGUACUGGUGAAAGGAAUGAAGUGAAAAAAGUGAAAAAAGCUUCUGAUUUCAGAAGCACAAUAUAAAAAUCAGGAUCAUCAUAUUUUCACUAUGAACGUGCAGUGUUUCAUCCCGAUGAAGUUGCUUCCCAUGUAUCUACGUGAGUAUUCGUUUUUUCUAAACAUCUCGGUUACCACAACAAACAUGUUAGCCUAGUGAAUUUAACAUGUUAGCAUGUGAUAUUUAUCUGGGUGAAAAAACCAUCAUCUUUAUAUUAUGCUUGUUUUACUUUAACAUUCUCUAGUGAAUUUUCUAAAACUUUAUGCAAAUAUAUUUGGACGAUAUUCUUUGGGAAAUACUGCUAAAUGACUGUUGUUUGUCUGGGUCCAUAGAUUCUUUAAGAAUCCAUUUUUACUGUUUUGUAUAUCCCUUCCGACAUGCUUGUCACUGGAGAAACUGAG
Papaver somniferum (opium poppy) is the source of this 978-nucleotide long non-coding RNA. RefSeq lists it as uncharacterized. The transcript is spliced from 5 exons. The record is from RefSeq and is a predicted model, not a curated record. NCBI's taxonomy places the organism in Eukaryota, Viridiplantae, Streptophyta, Magnoliopsida, Ranunculales, Papaveraceae.